UGGUACCGCCUCCUGCUGCCAUGUAAGAGAAGAGGGGGCGUAAGCCACGGGUGUCUUCCUGGUGUCGUUUAUAGGGUACAGUCACUUCCGCUAUCCACUUAGAAGUGGCGUGAUCAUGGCGGAGCGUGGUCAUCUUCCUCCCCUCACCAAGCACCUCUGCUGCAGACCCGGCUAUGGCUCAGGGUGCAGGCCAGGCCAGCGGGUGGCCAGCACUGGACUCAGUAGUGGGGCGCUCUGCGUCGGAUCCUCCUCUGCAGCUGCUGCUGCUGCAGCUGCUGCUGCUGCUGCAGCAGCCACAGCAGCAGCAGCCGCUGCCGCCCUGGGGCUGCUGCCUCUCGGCAAAACCCAGAGUCCCGACUCCCUACUGGACAUCGCGGCUCGCAAGGUGGCGGAGAAGUGGCCCUUCCAGCGGGUGGAGGAGCGCUUCGAGAGGAUUCCAGAGCCGGUACAGCGUAGGAUCGUCUACUGGUCCUUCCCCCGCAGCGAGAAGGAGAUCUGCAUGUACUCCUCCUUCAACACCGGUGCCGAGGACCCCGCCAUCACCCCCAGAGUGGCUACCGCCGGCACUGCGCCCGGUGGGGGCGCGGACACCGCCGCCGCCGAGAACCGCCUGCCCUUCCGUAGGGGCAUCGCUCUGCUAGACGGCGGCUUUGUCGAUAACGUCUUGCAAGUCGCUAUGUGCCAAUUAUGAUUUGUGAUGCCCUUGAGAUGCAUUACCAUGCUUUUCUCUGAUGAGGUAGCAAUAUGCAUCCAGUCUUUGUUCCUUUGACCCCACUAUUGAAGACCAGGAUGUCUAGAAAGCUUGUGAUGUAAUAAAAGGUGAGCCACAAAAGCCCAUAAAGGUCAGAAGUUCUGGGAGAGUAAUCAUCAAUUUAUAGAGGCACUGAAAGGUAAAGGAAUAUAAAUCCUGAAGCAUUUCCAGAAAAAAUUCCACUGGGGACCUUGGUGAGAGUCAUCCCAAUAUGAUGCACUGCACUGGAACCAGCAAAGGCUCAAUGGCAGAAUCGUUCCAGGCAAGGGCCUUGGUGUACUCAGUUACUUGGCAGAUUGAUUGGUGUUUGGGCCAGGUAGCAUGGAAGGGAUAGCAUUGCAUGUGACUUUGGUAAGGAAAUUAAUGUUCUGAACCUAGGGAUGAGGGAGUGUGGUGUGAAGGAAUAAGCAGAUCUGCCUGUAUUGCAGUUGCUGCCAUCUGAUGUUGGUUUGAAUUAUGGUGGGAAGGGUACAUUUUCAAUGUGGGCUGGUGGUGGGACUGCCGCUGAGGUAGUUUGAGAUUUAGUUUUCCAUCAGUAGCUGGGUACAAGUAGUGUAAGUUGCCAGGAGCACAUUCAGCACAGGUUGGAGGGACUUUUGGCAGGCUCAUCCUCUACAGAGCUUGGUGACACCACACU
This is an RNA transcript of Pezoporus flaviventris, 1388 nucleotides long. It is a transcript of the gene named zinc finger SWIM domain-containing protein 6-like, with no coding region annotated. NCBI's taxonomy places the organism in Eukaryota, Metazoa, Chordata, Aves, Psittaciformes, Psittacidae. The record is from RefSeq and is a predicted model, not a curated record. The transcript is spliced from 3 exons.